RNAcentral lists this ribosomal RNA (450 nucleotides) under uncultured bacterium. RNAcentral describes it as "partial 16S ribosomal RNA". It matches the Rfam family "Bacterial small subunit ribosomal RNA", at positions 354 to 796 of the family's 1533-position model. The record is from RNAcentral.
GUGGGGAAUCUUCCGCAAUGGACGAAAGUCUGACGGAGCGACGCCGCGUGAGUGAAGAAGGCCUUCGGGUCGUAAAGCUCUGUCAUCAGGGACGAACGGCCGGUGGAGUGGAAAGCCACCGGAUUGACGGUACCUGAGAAGGAAGCCACGGCUAACUACGUGCCAGCAGCCGCGGUAAUACGUAGGUGGCAAGCGUUGUCCGGAAUUAUUGGGCGUAAAGCGCGCGCAGGUGGGAUCUUAAGUCCAUUUUGAAAGUUCGGAGCUCAACUCCGUGAUGGGAUGGAAACUGGGAUUCUUGAGUACCGGAGAGGAAAGCGGAAUUCCCCGUGUAGCGGUGAAAUGCGUAGAUAUGGGGAGGAACACCAGUGGCGAAGGCGGCUCACUGGCUCGAUACUGACGCUGAGGUGCGAAAGCGUGGGGAGCAAACAGGAUUAGAAACCCCUGUAGUCC